UACCUUGUUACGACUUAGCGCCCCUUACCGGCCACACCUUCGGCGACUCCCUCCCUUGCGGGUUGGGCCAUCGACUUCGGGUGCAACCGACUCAGGUCACUUGACGGGCGGUGUGUACAAGGCCCGGGAACGUAUUUACCGCAGCAUAGCUGAUCUGCGGUUACUAGCGAUUCCGACUUCACGCAGUCGAGUUGCAGACUGCGAUCCGAACUGGGACCGGAUUUUUGGGAUUAGCUCCACCUCGCGGUCUUGCUGCCCUCUGUUACCGGCCAUUGUAGCAUGUGUGUAGCCCAGGGGUAAGGGCCAUGCGACUUGACGUGAUCCCGACGUUUGU
This 334-nucleotide ribosomal RNA is filed under the name uncultured bacterium. RNAcentral's name for it is "partial 16S ribosomal RNA". The record is from RNAcentral.